This 1132-nucleotide unclassified non-coding RNA is filed under the name Hevea brasiliensis (rubber tree). Lineage: Eukaryota; Viridiplantae; Streptophyta; Magnoliopsida; Malpighiales; Euphorbiaceae. The record is from RNAcentral.
CAAACAUGCUCCCUUUGGUCAAUGGGAACUUACACAAAAUCCUUCUAAUUUAAUUUCUCUCGGGGUCUCUACCAUGCAUUCAUUCCGUUAUUAAUAUCAUUGUUUUUUACAGCAGGCAGUAAGCAACAGGAACACGAGGCACCAAUAUCAUAUUUUCUUCGACAGUCUUUUGGCUACAAGGGAACAAAAAUACUCCUUGACAGAAGACUAAUCACAACAAAAGCAACCCAGAAAAAACAAUGAAAAUUGAAUAUUCUCCCACUUCUAGUAGCUAGUUAGGUCAGUUCCUGCACCCAAAUAUUACUCUGACUGACAUCUGAUACUAAUGUGAAUCUGAAUAAAACAGAAACGGAUCGACAUCCUAUGUUGACAACCAAUCUGCACACCCCUAGUCACACUUUGCUGAGCUAGUUGGAACCCUACUGAAUCUUCUUUUCCUUGCUUGAUGGCAGUGGAAUCUUCUUUAGGAGGCUUUCAUCGAUUUUCCUAUACUGUGUUUGAAUGAUUCUGUGUGUUACAGACAACUUUUCAUCAAUGCGGUGCUGGUAUUUGUCAUAAAGUACAGGAACUGAAAGGCUAAGGAGAACCCCAAUAUAGACGAGAGUGAGAAAAUUGCAGAGACUACCAAUAUAGGAUGCUACCCACAAACCAAAAGCGACCUGAAGGAACAUUUUCAAAUUUCUGCCAAUUGCAAUCUCACGUGCAAUUGACAGCGCAUGAUUGGCAUACAAUUGAAGCACAUCAGCAGCCUUGACAAUAGUCUCCUCAGAAAUUUCCAGGUCAGGCAGGGGAGGCAGAGGCCUGUUGAGAAGGGAAGCAGAUUUGGCCCAGAAGAAUAGAAUGGCAACAAGAAGGAACAACACAUUGGCUACAAAUGACAAGAUAUUAUAACCGGCUCGCUCAAACAGCAUCCACAUGGUAGUCGCUGUCAAUAGAAUCGUAACACUCCCACACCAUUUCUUCCAUAACAGCACAUCGGCCACUGCACCGCCACCAAGAGCUUGAUGAACGGAUAUGCGACGAGGAGGAAUGGAUUCUCCCAUGAAGAUCGAAUUUAGGGUUUAUAAAUACAAAAGAUUGCAGAGAGAGAGAGUAGGAGUACAGAGAGGGAGAUGGGAAUACAAAACGUUAC